This 922-nucleotide ribosomal RNA is filed under the name Vibrio sp. 4.5.0412MS4. RNAcentral describes it as "bacterial SSU rRNA". It matches the Rfam family "Bacterial small subunit ribosomal RNA", at positions 56 to 959 of the family's 1533-position model. Lineage: Bacteria; Pseudomonadati; Pseudomonadota; Gammaproteobacteria; Vibrionales; Vibrionaceae. The record is from RNAcentral.
UGCAGUCGAGCGGAACGAGUUAUCUGAACCUUCGGGGGACGAUAACGGCGUCGAGCGGCGGACGGGUGAGUAAUGCCUAGGAAAUUGCCCUGAUGUGGGGGAUAACCAUUGGAAACGAUGGCUAAUACCGCAUAACGCCUACGGGCCAAAGAGGGGGACCUUCGGGCCUCUCGCGUCAGGAUAUGCCUAGGUGGGAUUAGCUAGUUGGUGAGGUAAUGGCUCACCAAGGCGACGAUCCCUAGCUGGUCUGAGAGGAUGAUCAGCCACACUGGAACUGAGACACGGUCCAGACUCCUACGGGAGGCAGCAGUGGGGAAUAUUGCACAAUGGGCGCAAGCCUGAUGCAGCCAUGCCGCGUGUGUGAAGAAGGCCUUCGGGUUGUAAAGCACUUUCAGUCGUGAGGAAGGUAGUGUAGUUAAUAGCUGCAUUAUUUGACGUUAGCGACAGAAGAAGCACCGGCUAACUCCGUGCCAGCAGCCGCGGUAAUACGGAGGGUGCGAGCGUUAAUCGGAAUUACUGGGCGUAAAGCGCAUGCAGGUGGUUUGUUAAGUCAGAUGUGAAAGCCCGGGGCUCAACCUCGGAAUUGCAUUUGAAACUGGCAGACUAGAGUACUGUAGAGGGGGGUAGAAUUUCAGGUGUAGCGGUGAAAUGCGUAGAGAUCUGAAGGAAUACCGGUGGCGAAGGCGGCCCCCUGGACAGAUACUGACACUCAGAUGCGAAAGCGUGGGGAGCAAACAGGAUUAGAUACCCUGGUAGUCCACGCCGUAAACGAUGUCUACUUGGAGGUUGUGGCCUUGAGCCGUGGCUUUCGGAGCUAACGCGUUAAGUAGACCGCCUGGGGAGUACGGUCGCAAGAUUAAAACUCAAAUGAAUUGACGGGGGCCCGCACAAGCGGUGGAGCAUGUGGUUUAAUUCGAUGCAA